UGGGGAAUAUUGCACAAUGGGCGCAAGCCUGAUGCAGCCAUGCCUCGUGUAUGAAGAAGGCCUUCGGGUUGUAAAGUACUUUCAGCGGGGAGGAAGGGAGUAAAGUUAAUACCUUUGCUCAUUGACGUUACCCGCAGAAGAAGCACCGGCUAACUCCGUGCCAGCAGCCGCGGUAAUACGGAGGGUGCAAGCGUUAAUCGGAAUUACUGGGCGUAAAGCGCACGCAGGCGGUUUGUUAAGUCAGAUGUGAAAUCCCCGGGCUCAACCUGGGAACUGCAUCUGAUACUGGCAAGCUUGAGUCUCGUAGAGGGGGGUAGAAUUCCAGGUGUAGCGGUGAAAUGCGUAGAGAUCUGGAGGAAUACCGGUGGCGAAGGCGGCCCCCUGGACGAAGACUGACGCUCAGGUGCGAAAGCGUGGGGAGCAAACAGG
This 429-nucleotide ribosomal RNA is filed under the name Chloroflexota bacterium. RNAcentral's name for it is "Chloroflexi bacterium partial 16S ribosomal RNA". It matches the Rfam family "Bacterial small subunit ribosomal RNA", at positions 355 to 776 of the family's 1533-position model. Lineage: Bacteria; Bacillati; Chloroflexota. The record is from RNAcentral.